RNAcentral lists this ribosomal RNA (255 nucleotides) under uncultured bacterium. Its description in RNAcentral is "partial 16S ribosomal RNA". It matches the Rfam family "Bacterial small subunit ribosomal RNA", at positions 524 to 776 of the family's 1533-position model. The record is from RNAcentral.
UACGAAGGGGGCUAGCGUUGUUCGGAAUUACUGGGCGUAAAGGGCGCGCAGGCGGUCUUCCAAGUCGGAUGUGAAAGCCCCGGGCUCAACCUGGGAACUGCAUUCGAGACUGGGGGGACUUGAGUUCGGGAGAGGAGAGCGGAAUUCCCAGUGUAGAGGUGAAAUUCGUAGAUAUUGGGAAGAACACCGGUGGCGAAGGCGGCUCUCUGGACCGAUACUGACGCUGAGGCGCGAAAAGCGUGGGGAGCAAACAGG